UACGUAGGGGGCGAGCGUUAUCCGGAUUCAUUGGGCGUAAAGCGCGCGUAGGCGGCCAGCUAGGCCGGGCGUCAAAGACCGGGGCCCAACCCCGGAAAGCGCCCGGAACCGGCCGGCUCGAGUCCGGCAGGGGGGGGCGGAAUUCCCGGUGUAGCGGUGAAAUGCGCAGAUAUCGGGAGGAACACCGACGGCGAAGGCAGCCCCCUGGGCCGGCACUGACGCUGAGGCGCGAGAGCCGGGGGAGCGAACA
RNAcentral lists this ribosomal RNA (250 nucleotides) under uncultured prokaryote. Its description in RNAcentral is "partial 16S ribosomal RNA". It matches the Rfam family "Bacterial small subunit ribosomal RNA", at positions 524 to 774 of the family's 1533-position model. The record is from RNAcentral.